Long non-coding RNA from Platichthys flesus (European flounder), 406 nucleotides. RefSeq lists it as uncharacterized. The record is from RefSeq and is a predicted model, not a curated record. The transcript is spliced from 3 exons. Lineage: Eukaryota; Metazoa; Chordata; Actinopteri; Pleuronectiformes; Pleuronectidae.
CAGCUGCUGCUGAAUGAGUUUGCGCUUCUCGGGGUCGGCCGUCGGGCCUGCUGACCCUCCAGCCCCGGGGCCCAUGCCCACCGACGCUACCUGCUGCAUCUGAGACUGCAAGAGAAUGCCAAUGCACAUGUAGCGGCCGGAGCAGCAGCCGGCUUCGCUUCGCGGGGGUUUCUCUCUGCCAGCAGUUCUCAGACAGAGCAAGCCCAACCCAGCGGAGAGAGAGGGAGGGAGCGAGAGAGAGCGAAACGCAGACCCAGGAAGAACAGUCGAUCGAUACACGGUGAGGAAGAGAUAACUGUCGACGAGACAUGCGCCAACACCAGAUGAUGAAAAUAAUCAUCACCAGGAUAAUUAAAAAUAAAAAAACUAUUUGUACUUACUGUGGAUAAAGUCAUUAAAAAGUUGU